RNAcentral lists this long non-coding RNA (2959 nucleotides) under Mytilus galloprovincialis (Mediterranean mussel). The record is from RNAcentral. Lineage: Eukaryota; Metazoa; Mollusca; Bivalvia; Mytilida; Mytilidae.
CAAUUAUGUAAUCGACUACUGAACUUUAGAUCUGAUAUACUAUCAUUUAAAUACUAUAGUAGUUUAGUACGCAAACAGAUAGCAAUUGAAUACACACGAUAAGGCAAGUGCAUUAUUUAUGAAUGAAUGUUUGACAUCAUACAUGUAUUUGAAAAACAUUAUUUUAUUUCGUCAUGUUCAUGUUAUUCGUUGUAACAAUAGUUAUUGUUACACUCGAGUUCAAACAAAUACUAUACUAACAUACAUUGCCUAUAAUUGCUUACAUUCACUUCCCUUGAACUUAGAUGGACAGUUGUCUCAUUAGAAAUCAUACCACAUCUCCUUAUUUUCAUAUAUAAAAGUGCAUUUUGUGUCUUCUAUACAUUUUUAUACCCCAUUUAUGGGUGUAAUGUUUUCUGGUCUGUGAGUUCGUUCGUUCGUUCGUUCGUCCGUCCGUCCGUUCGGUCGUUUGUUCGUCUAUCCGCCUGUUCUUCCGUCCGUUCGUCCGUCUGUCCCGCUUCAGGUUAAUGUUUUUGGUCAAAAAGUAUUUGAUGAAGUUUAAAUCCAAUAAAAUAUUAACUUAGUACACAUGUUCCCUAUAAUAUGAUAUUUCAAAUGUUAAUGCAACAUUAGAGUUUUGACCAUAAUUUCACCGUCCACUGAACAUAAAAAAGUGCGAUUGGGGCAUCCGUGUUCUAAUGACACAUUCUUGAUUAAAAAUGAAAUGUUGGUAAUGUUUAAUAUUUGUCGGAAGUUUAUUUAAUGAAUAACAUGCGAUUGAUUUUUCUGCAUGUAUAUUUCACGGAUAAAAUUUGAGUUAGUAGCAGCUAUAUUUUAUGGAUAAAAUGUAAAUUUGCUGUAGCCAUAUAUUUUAAUUAAUGAAAUAUAAAUAUAUUGCAUGCAUACUUGAUGGAUGAAAUGUGAUUAAAAUGCAUGCAAACACGUCAGCAGAAAAAGUAACAUUUUAACCGUAUUACCUUUUUUGUCGUUGCAAAAAGUAAAAUUACACAAGUACUGAACUCUGAGAAAAACUUGUGCGUAAAGUCCCUAAUGAAAUGGCAGAAUCGAAAGCUCAAGCAUAUCAAACGAAUAGACUUUGAUUAUAAAAAUUGUAAUAGACCUGAAACUAUACAAUACAUUUAGGUAAAAGUCAAUAUAAUUUAGUAUUUUGAAAACAAUAUGAAGAAAUUUACUCAUUAUAUUUAAAGCAAAUUCAGACUGUUAAAUAUUUUAUGAUAGGACAAAGUGAAGAAUAAAGGACAAAAAUGAGGAUAAAGGGGUUCUCAAAUAUGAAGAAUAGUGAAGUCAAAAUUUGUAUAGACAAACGAAAAUGUAUUUAAAAGUUAUAUGAUUCUCCAAUUAUUUUCUGUUCUUUAUUUUAUUUUAACUAUUUGUUGACGAUUUGCUUUAUUUUCUCUGUUCUUUUGUCUAUUUGUCCGUUUUUUAUCAUUAUUUCUCCAUCCUGUAAACCGAAUUAAGACCAUCAUGGUAUUUUUUCGGUAAAACCAUAAAAUACCGAGUGGGGUAUUUAAGUCACGAGUUUAAUAAAAGCUGUUAACACCAUGACCAAAUAGAAAAUAACGAAAAGACGAAUACAAAUAGCAGAAGAUUCUACAGUUAACUUAAAAAUGAAAAAAAAAAACGUGAACUCAACCAAACACAGGAGGGAACUGAGGUUCUAAAGUAAAGUAAUUCUCAAACUAAACAAAUAAAUUCAUCAUAGAUACAUGGAUUCAAAUUUUGUUUUUUUGUUUCUAUAAAAGACUCAUUAGUGACGCUCGAAUCAAAAAUGUUUAAAAGGCCAAAUAAAGUACGAAGUUGAAGAGCACUGAGGACCGAAAAUUCCUAAAAGUUUUGCCAAAGACAGAUAAGGUUAUCUAAUCCUGAGGUAGAAUAGCCUUAGUAUUUCAGAAAAAAAAAUCGAAGUUUUGUUAACAUUUAAUUUAUAAUUAUGAACAUAUCAAUGAUAACUCAAGUCAACACAGAAGUGCUGACUACUGGUCUAGUGAUACCCUCGGGGAAAUAAAUCUCCACCAGCAGUGGCAUCGACCCAGUGGUUGUAAAUAAACUCAUCAUAGAUACAUGGAUUCAAACAGUGUAUUCUUCUCAACUACAGGUUUCAUUUGCAUCCUUAUACAUGACUUACAGAUGCCAAAGAAUAAUUGAUUGCUUGAUUGACGCUAUUUUCAACACUAUUGUGGUAUUACGUGGCGGUCUCAGUUUAUCGAAUAAGGAAGUCAGAAAGCCCACAGAGAACUGCCAACCAUAUACAUACCAUGUACACAACAACUUACUGAUCUUAGUCAAUUAAUAAGAAUAAGAAUCGAUUGCACCUGCAACGAGCAUGGUUCCAACUCACAAUUUCAGUGGUGAGAUACUUGUAGAAGUUUGAGUACUUAAAUUAUUCUACCAUUGAGGCCUCUCGGAUGUGGAAGAUAUUUAGUAUUUAAAAUUUCUUGUGGAAUGUAUCCGGAAAAAAUGCGUAAAGCCGGAUAUAUAUAUAUUUUUCAAUAUAUAAAAUAAAUAUAAAGUAUUCAUUUGUUUAUAUGUAAAUAUUCAAAAGUUUUUAUUCGUAUUAUUGUAUAUCUACUUACAGAAACCUCCACAAUGAAGUAUACCAUGCUUGUGAUAUUAGUCUUCUUAAUACUUAAUGUAAGUAUUGUCAGCAGCGCCUCAACGUGUACUCAGUGUAAACACAACUUUUCGUCGUGUGUUCACCAUUGUCCAGGGAGCGGCACUGUAGGCAAAAAAAGGGACGAAUCAAAAGAAUAUCACAAUACAAAGAGGGAUGCUCAUGAUGAUUGUCUUAUAGCAUGUAAUCACACUUACAAUAAAUGCAAGAGUGAUUGCGUCUAAUCAGCACAGAUUCAAAUAGUGAACAUAUAAAAAUGUGACCAAUUGAACAAUAUGUUUGUUUUCCAUUACACAUUAAAUAUGAAAGUAUGAAGAAGUGGUUUUAUAUAUUAAAGGUGAUCGUUUA